Molecule: ribosomal RNA, 395 nt
Filed under: uncultured bacterium
Lineage: Bacteria
Description: partial 16S ribosomal RNA
Rfam family: Bacterial small subunit ribosomal RNA
Source: RNAcentral
CCUACGGGUGGCAGCAGUGAGGAAUAUUGGUCAAUGGGCGUAAGCCUGAACCAGCCAAGUCGCGUGAGGGAUGAAGGUUCUAUGGAUCGUAAACCUCUUUUAUAAGGGAAUAAAGUGUGGGACGUGUCCUAUUUUGUAUGUACCUUAUGAAUAAGGAUCGGCUAACUCCGUGCCAGCAGCCGCGGUAAUACGGAGGAUCCGAGCGUUAUCCGGAUUUAUUGGGUUUAAAGGGUGCGUAGGCGGCCUUUUAAGUCAGCGGUGAAAGUCUGUGGCCCAACCAUGGAAUUGCCGUUGAAGAUGGGGGGGUUGAGUAUGUUUGAGGGAGGCGGAAUGCGGGGUGUAGGGGUGAAAUGCUUAGAUAUUGCGCAGAACCCCGAUUGGGAAGGCAGGCUGGC